GACGAACGCUGGCGGCGUGCUUAACACAUGCAAGUCGAACGGUAAGGCCCUUCGGGGUACACGAGUGGCGAACGGGUGAGUAACACGUGGGUGAUCUGCCCUGCACUUCGGGAUAAGCCUGGGAAACUGGGUCUAAUACCGGAUAGGACCCUGGGAUGCAUGUCCUGGGGUGGAAAGCUUUUGCGGUGUGGGGUGGGCCCGCGGCCUAUCAGCUUGUUGGUGGGGUGAUGGCCUACCAAGGCGACGACGGGUAGCCGGCCUGAGAGGGGGACCGGCCACACUGGGACGGAGAUACGGCCCAGACUCCUGCGGGAGGCAGCAGUGGGGAAUAUUGCACGAUGGGCGCAAGCGUGAUGCAGAGACGCCGCGUGAGGGAUGACGGCCGUCGGGUUGUAAACCUCUUUCGGCGCCGACGAAGCGCAAGUGACGGUAGGUGCAGAAGAAGGACCGGCCAACUACGUGCCAGCCGCCGCGGUAA
Molecule: ribosomal RNA, 478 nt
Filed under: uncultured bacterium
Lineage: Bacteria
Description: partial 16S ribosomal RNA
Rfam family: Bacterial small subunit ribosomal RNA
Source: RNAcentral